This 404-nucleotide ribosomal RNA is filed under the name uncultured bacterium. RNAcentral describes it as "bacterial SSU rRNA". It matches the Rfam family "Bacterial small subunit ribosomal RNA", at positions 355 to 774 of the family's 1533-position model. The record is from RNAcentral.
UGGGGAAUAUUGCACAAUGGGCGAAAGCCUGAUGCAGCAACGCCGCGUGAGGGAUGAAGGCCUUCGGGUCGUAAACCUCUGUCCUUGGGGAAGAAACAAAUGACGGUACCCAUGGAGGAAGCCCCGGCUAACUACGUGCCAGCAGCCGCGGUAAUACGUAGGGGGCGAGCGUUAUCCGGAAUUAUUGGGCGUAAAGAGUGCGUAGGUGGUUACCUAAGCGCAGGGUCUAAGGCAAUGGCUCAACCAUUGUUCGCCCUGCGAACUGGGCUACUUGAGUGCAGGAGAGGAAAGCGGAAUUCCUAGUGUAGCGGUGAAAUGCGUAGAUAUUAGGAGGAACACCAGUGGCGAAGGCGGCUUUCUGGACUGUUACUGACACUGAGGCACGAAAGCGUGGGGAGCAAACA